CACAAAUUUUAGUAAUUUCUUAAUGUUGAUUUGUUGGUGUAAAUAUGGUGCCACAAAAAUGUUUCAUGUAUGGUACCUUUCACAAAAAAUGUUCUAGUUAUACCUACAUAUAGACUUAUUUGGUAGAAGUGAAAUAUGCUUAAGACAUUUGAUACAGUUUUAGGGUGUGUUCAAGUUGGUUGGAGAGAUAUCCACAUUUAAAUCUGAACCAGAAAUUGUACUGUUCCAUUAGGAUAUUCAGGCUUAUAGGAAGGAAUCCGGAUUUGAGGGGUGUUAAAUAUUUUUGCAAUUUUUUUUCAAUGUCCAGAUAUAAAAAGUUCCUACUUUGCCCUCGUCAAUUUGGAAGCCAGCCACCCAAAUUGUUUUGGCAGAAGGCUGUUAAAUUGGAAUCCUAAUUUGGGGAAAGUAAGCAUAGAGCUGGUUUCGUCGGAUCGAGGAAGACAACGGAAACGAUGCAGUCUGAUAACCACAACGGGAAAGUGCUGUCUCCCUUAUCUGGUGCACCGAAUCUAUGUACACCCAACUCCGGAAAACGUUCAUGGGGUGGUAGCCCUAGUAGCAGGGCUAAUUGUGAUGUUGUGGCUGAGACGCCGAGGAACAAGUUUCGCAAGGGGGAAAGAUCGAGACGCAUGUGGACGGCAAAGGAGGAAAACCAACAAGUGCAUACCUAGGGUUUGUAGAAGGGGGGAAAAUCGGACCUGCCCCUUACUUGAAUGAUUUUAAUUCAGGGUGAUAAUAGUAAAUUACUCUCAUAUCUGGAGCCGGAAAUCGAGACAUGAAAUGAAUUACCACCUCCUGCUUCUGAUUUGGUUUAAGACCAUACCUGGAGUGAACAGAUCGGGCUCAGACAUUAACAACGGGCUUCCCUUGGAAUAGACUAUGAUCUUGAACAACCACAAAGUCCAUGAUAUAGGCCCAUUUCUGCUCAUAUCAGCCUACUUGAACAGGCCUUUAGUUGAGGAAGCGAUGAUACUGAAACUGCCGAAAAUAUCAACUAUGUUGGAAUAAUUUGGAAUUCGUAUUAGCACCAUGAAUCAAAAUAGUUGGUAUGUCAAAUUCGGCCAUCGGUAUCGUUUAAAGGAUGAAAUAGACUUUUUUAUUAUAUUUCCUGAUUUAUUUUAAAUUUCUGUAAUUUCAUUUAUUCACUCUAAGUUUCUACGGUUUCCAAACUACUUUGUAUAAAUGACUUAUUGUUUUGCAUUCAAUUUUGAUUUUAUUAAUAACUUUUAAAUUAAA
Salvia splendens (bonfire salvia) is the source of this 1236-nucleotide long non-coding RNA. RefSeq lists it as uncharacterized. The record is from RefSeq and is a predicted model, not a curated record. The transcript has 3 exons. NCBI's taxonomy places the organism in Eukaryota, Viridiplantae, Streptophyta, Magnoliopsida, Lamiales, Lamiaceae.